AAGGAAGCAUGUAUAGGGGGUACAUAUGGUGGCAGUUGUAUGCUCAGCAGAAGAAGCACCAGGGAGGUGAAGCUCCAAUGCCAACGGUCUUGAUCAUUGGACAAUGCCUAUAAUGACUGCAUGAAAAUGAACGUGGUUCUUCAUAUUUCUUAAAUUUGUUCUUUUGGUCUUGUCGUUUCAUAAAAAUUGUGUUACGAAUGGAAUGGUACAAAAUGGAGCUUCAAAUCAGGAUCUGUUUUGCUGUUGUACUGCCUUGCUAUAUACAAUUUAUUUUUCAGAGGUGGAAUCUUGGGUUUGUUUAAUGGAAGGUGUGAAGUCAGAGAAAUGAGAAUAGAAGUAGCUUUUCAUGGCUGUGUUUACUGAGGUCACGUUGACAGCAUGAACCUUCGAUGUGAUGUGAGGAAAAUGGCAUUCUACCUCUGUGUUCUUCCUCCCCAAAAUUUGUAACCACCAUCUAAUCAUGAGGAAAACAUCAUACAAGUCCAAAUUGAGGAAGAUUCUACAAAAUGCCUGAUUAAUAUUCAUCGAAACUGUCAAGGUCAUCAAAAGCAAGGAAAGUCUGAGAAACUGCCACAGCCUAAAGACAAUCCAGGGAAACGUGAUGACUCAGUGGUAUUCGGGGUGGGUUUCUGGAACAGCAAAAGGACAACAGGUAAAAUCUAAGAACAUACGAAUAAAGUGUGAACUUUAAUUAAUAA
This 698-nucleotide long non-coding RNA is filed under the name Homo sapiens (human). Its description in RNAcentral is "long intergenic non-protein coding RNA 1277". Lineage: Eukaryota; Metazoa; Chordata; Mammalia; Primates; Hominidae. The record is from RNAcentral.